RNAcentral lists this transfer RNA (73 nucleotides) under Candidatus Woesearchaeota archaeon. RNAcentral describes it as "tRNA-Gln". It matches the Rfam family "tRNA". From Rfam's summary of the family: Transfer RNA (tRNA) molecules are approximately 80 nucleotides in length. Their secondary structure includes four short double-helical elements and three loops (D, anti-codon, and T loops). The record is from RNAcentral. Lineage: Archaea; Nanobdellati; Candidatus Woesearchaeota.
AGCUCCGUAGUGUAGUGGCCAAUCAUCGCGGACUCUGGAUCCGUGGACGGCAGUUCAAAUCUGCCCGGAGCUA